Molecule: small RNA, 126 nt
Filed under: Marmota monax (woodchuck)
Lineage: Eukaryota; Metazoa; Chordata; Mammalia; Rodentia; Sciuridae
Source: RNAcentral
GCUGGGCAUGGUGGUCCUCGCCUGUAAUCCCAAUGCGUGGGAGGCUGAGGCAGGAGGAUCAUGAAUUCAAAGUCAGCCUCAGUAAUUUAGCAAGGCUCUAAGGAACUUAGCAAGACCCUGUCUCAA